Molecule: ribosomal RNA, 117 nt
Filed under: Photorhabdus luminescens
Lineage: Bacteria; Pseudomonadati; Pseudomonadota; Gammaproteobacteria; Enterobacterales; Morganellaceae
Description: partial 16S ribosomal RNA
Rfam family: Bacterial small subunit ribosomal RNA
Source: RNAcentral
AAGAAGUCGGUAGCUUAACCUUUUUGGAGGGCGCUGACCACUUUGUGGCUCAUGACUGGGGUGAAGUCGUAACAAGGUAACCGUAGGGGAACCUGCGGUUGGAUCACCUCCUUACCU